GACAGAGGGUGCAAACGUUGUUCGUAAUUACUGGGCGUAAAGCGCGUGUAGGCGGCCCUGCAAGUCGGGUGUGAAAUCCCACGGCUCAACCGUGGAAGUGCAUUCGAAACUGCAGGGCUAGAGUCCUGGAGAGGAAGGUGGAAUGCUUGGUGUAGAGGUGAAAUUCGUAGAUAUCAAGCGGAACACCGGUGGCGAAGGCGGCCUUCUGGACAGUGACUGACGCUGAGACGCGAAAGCGUGGGGAGCAAACAGG
Molecule: ribosomal RNA, 253 nt
Filed under: uncultured bacterium
Lineage: Bacteria
Description: partial 16S ribosomal RNA
Rfam family: Bacterial small subunit ribosomal RNA
Source: RNAcentral